Molecule: ribosomal RNA, 1014 nt
Filed under: Aureobasidium pullulans
Lineage: Eukaryota; Fungi; Ascomycota; Dothideomycetes; Dothideales; Saccotheciaceae
Description: SSU rRNA
Rfam family: Eukaryotic small subunit ribosomal RNA
Source: RNAcentral
UAUAAGCAACUAUACGGUGAAACUGCGAAUGGCUCAUUAAAUCAGUUAUCGUUUAUUUGAUAGUACCUUACUACUUGGAUAACCGUGGUAAUUCUAGAGCUAAUACAUGCUAAAAACCCCAACUUCGGAAGGGGUGUAUUUAUUAGAUAAAAAACCAACGCCCUUCGGGGCUCCUUGGUGAUUCAUAAUAACUAAACGAAUCGCAUGGCCUUGCGCCGGCGAUGGUUCAUUCAAAUUUCUGCCCUAUCAACUUUCGAUGGUAGGAUAGUGGCCUACCAUGGUAUCAACGGGUAACGGGGAAUUAGGGUUCUAUUCCGGAGAGGGAGCCUGAGAAACGGCUACCACAUCCAAGGAAGGCAGCAGGCGCGCAAAUUACCCAAUCCCGACACGGGGAGGUAGUGACAAUAAAUACUGAUACAGGGCUCUUUUGGGUCUUGUAAUUGGAAUGAGUACAAUUUAAAUCCCUUAACGAGGAACAAUUGGAGGGCAAGUCUGGUGCCAGCAGCCGCGGUAAUUCCAGCUCCAAUAGCGUAUAUUAAAGUUGUUGCAGUUAAAAAGCUCGUAGUUGAACCUUGGGCCUGGCUGGCCGGUCCGCCUCACCGCGUGUACUGGUCCGGCCGGGCCUUUCCUUCUGGGGAGCCGCAUGCCCUUCACUGGGCGUGUCGGGGAACCAGGACUUUUACUUUGAAAAAAUUAGAGUGUUCAAAGCAGGCCUUUGCUCGAAUACAUUAGCAUGGAAUAAUAGAAUAGGACGUGCGGUUCUAUUUUGUUGGUUUCUAGGACCGCCGUAAUGAUUAAUAGGGAUAGUCGGGGGCAUCAGUAUUCAAUUGUCAGAGGUGAAAUUCUUGGAUUUAUUGAAGACUAACUACUGCGAAAGCAUUUGCCAAGGAUGUUUUCAUUAAUCAGUGAACGAAAGUUAGGGGAUCGAAGACGAUCAGAUACCGUCGUAGUCUUAACCAUAAACUAUGCCGACUAGGGAUCGGGCGAUNNUAUCAUUUUNNNNCNNNUCGGCAC